Molecule: transfer RNA, 88 nt
Filed under: Saprospiraceae bacterium
Lineage: Bacteria; Pseudomonadati; Bacteroidota; Saprospiria; Saprospirales; Saprospiraceae
Description: tRNA-Ser
Rfam family: tRNA
About the family: Transfer RNA (tRNA) molecules are approximately 80 nucleotides in length. Their secondary structure includes four short double-helical elements and three loops (D, anti-codon, and T loops).
Source: RNAcentral
GGAGAGUUGCUCGAGUGGUUGAAGAGUCACGCCUGGAAAGUGUGUGUACGCCAAAAGUGUACCGAGGGUUCGAAUCCCUCACUCUCCG